UUGAAUUUCCAGCAGCUUUUAGAGAUUUUCCAACAGCUGGUCUUCUUCUUCUUCUCCUCUCUCACGUUUCUUCAAAACUCCAUGGAAGCUUGAUUUGAAGCUUGAAUGAUUUUCUCUCUCUAGCUCUAGUUUUCACACCUUUGAACCCUUUUGACUAGAACCUUUGAAUUCUUUCAUCCUCUUACUUGCAAACCCUUGAUAAAGCUUAUUUUCAGACUUUCUCUCACUAGUUGGGCAUUUUAGAGAGAGAAAAAGAGAAUUACUCCAUUGAUUUGGAAGCAAUUGGAAGAGAAUUUGACUACAAAG
RNAcentral lists this long non-coding RNA (306 nucleotides) under Theobroma cacao (cacao). RNAcentral describes it as "long non-coding RNA (TCAC_LNC005189)". The record is from RNAcentral. Lineage: Eukaryota; Viridiplantae; Streptophyta; Magnoliopsida; Malvales; Malvaceae.